Molecule: ribosomal RNA, 510 nt
Filed under: uncultured bacterium
Lineage: Bacteria
Description: partial 16S ribosomal RNA
Rfam family: Bacterial small subunit ribosomal RNA
Source: RNAcentral
GACGAACGCUGGCGGUGUGCUUAACACAUGCAAGUCGAACGAAGAGCGAUGGAAGCUUGCUUCUAUCAAUCUUAGUGGCGAACGGGUGAGUAACGCGUAAUCAACCUGCCCUUCAGAGGGGGACAACAGUUGGAAACGACUGCUAAUACCGCAUACGAUCCAAUCUCGGCAUCGGGACUGGAUGAAAGGUGUCCUCUAUUUAUAAGCUAUCACUGAAGGAGGGGAUUGCGUCUGAUUAGCUAGUUGGAGGGGUAACGGCCCACCAAGGCGAUGAUCAGUAGCCGGUCUGAGAGGAUUAACGGCCACAUUGGGACUGGAGAACGGCCCAGACUUCUACGGGAGGCAGCAGUGGGGAAUCAUUCGCAAUGGACGAAAGUCUGGCGGAGCAACGCCGCGUGAGUGAUGGCGGCCUUCGGGUUGGAAAGAUCUGUUUAUCGGGAAGAAUGGUUCUUGUGCGAAUAGUGCGAGGAUUUGACGGUACCGGAAGAGAAAGCCACGGCUAACUACGUG